This 270-nucleotide ribosomal RNA is filed under the name uncultured archaeon. RNAcentral describes it as "partial 16S ribosomal RNA". It matches the Rfam family "Archaeal small subunit ribosomal RNA", at positions 477 to 747 of the family's 1478-position model. The record is from RNAcentral.
CAGCUCUCCGAGUGGUAGGGAUGAUUAUUGGGCCUAAAGCAUCCGUAGCCGGCUCUGUAAGUUUUCGGUUAAAUCUGUACGCUCAACGUACAGGCUGCCGGGAAUACUGCAGAGCUAGGGAGUGGGAGAGGUAGACGGUACUCGGUAGGAAGGGGUAAAAUCCUUUGAUCUAUUGAUGACCACCUGUGGCGAAGGCGGUCUACCAGAACACGUCCGACGGUGAGGGAUGAAAGCUGGGGGAGCAAACCGGAUUAGAGACCCGAGUAGUCC